GAUGAACGCUGGCGGCGUGCCUAAUGCAUGCAAGUCGAGCGACGCACGUCGGAGGGGUAACCCACCGGCAUGACGGAGCGGCGAACGGGUGAGUAACACGUGAGCAACCUGCCCCACAGACCGGGAUAGCCCAGGGAAACCUGGAUUAAUACCGGAUAUCCUCGAUCGAUCACAUGAUCGGACGAGGAAAUGCCUUUGUGCUGUGGGAUGGGCUCGCGGCUUAUCAGCUAGUUGGUGGGGUAACGGCCUACCAAGGCAUCGACGAGUAGCUGGUCUGAGAGGACGAUCAGCCACACUGGGACUGAGACACGGCCCAGACUCCUACGGGAGGCAGCAGCAGGGAAUCUUGCGCAAUGGGCGAAAGCCUGACGCAGCAACGCCGCGUGGGGGAUGAAGGCCUUCGGUUGUAACCCCUUUCAGGAGGGAAGAAAUUGACGGUACCUCCAGAAGAAGCACCGGCCAACUACGUGCCAGCAGCCGCGGUAAUAC
This 489-nucleotide ribosomal RNA is filed under the name uncultured bacterium. RNAcentral's name for it is "bacterial SSU rRNA". It matches the Rfam family "Bacterial small subunit ribosomal RNA", at positions 28 to 526 of the family's 1533-position model. The record is from RNAcentral.